GGCAGGUGCAGUGCCACUGAGCUAAACCCCUGGCCCUUUCCUAUCUAUUUUUUAAGAUAUCCCAAAAAGAUUAUUGUUGAGAGGUAAACAAAUUUUUACAUUGUGGCAGAAAAUAAUCCAUACAGCUGGGCAUGAUGGCACACACCUGUAACCCCUGCCCUGAAAGAGGCUGAGGCAGAAGGACCACAAGUUCAACUCCUGCCUGAACAACUUGACUACAGGUACUGAGUCCUCCAGGACACUCCCUUUCAGUGACUCUUCCAAGUUGGUACAUCAGGCUAUGUGGCAGCCACAAAUUGAUCUGCCCAUGUCCAAACACUGGGAUGCUGGGAAUGGCAUGCAGCCACCAGAGCCACCUGGAGCAGAAGGGUGAUACCUUAGAGACUGAACCAGGGUAUACACCUGAACUCUACCUGAAGCCUGUCUGCAAGCAGGGAGUGAAUUUCACACACCAAUAUGAUGGAAGGUAAAAAUGUCAGUUAUUCAUAAAAGCUCAAGGACAAAAGGAACACAGAAUAAACACUUCAUAGCAAGUGAAAGCUAGAAAGCCCUUCCUGUGUCACAACACCAUAUGUGAAAAAAAGCCUUCCCCUGCUUUAGUCCUGGCAUCAAGCUCGGAAGUCCCACACCUAUGGGAGCAAAUCUGCAGGCAUUUUUUGUUUGGGGUGCAAAUGACUGAUAGAAAUUCCUUCCCUGUGUUGUUCUAUGCGAUCAUACAGAAAGCUGUAGGACAGCAAAGACAACUUGAAUUCUGAGGCCAUUUUUGUCUUAAAUGAAUGUAACAUUACAAGUGAAAUGAUAAAAGCAGUGUUGUUUUAAAAUUUCAAUAGCCAAAGGAUGGGGUCAGGUUCAUAGUUUAAAAAAAAAACAUAAAAUAUUAAACCUGAAACAAACUUGUCCAUUGUCCAAAUCCACACUUUUCACAAAUCAAAACUAAGGUGCAGGGAGAUGGAGGCUGGGGUAUAGCUCAGUGAUAAAGCAUUUGCGCAGCAUGCAUGAGGCUGUGGCUUUGAACCCCAGCACCAUCAAAUAACAAACAAACAAACAUGAAAAAGGUGUCGGGGAUAAAGUGUUUUUUAAGAGCAGUGGCUGCUCCAAGGGUAGCCCGUGUGUCUGUAACCACAAACUGCAUCUCCUGGAGUCCUCAAGUGAACAUACAGCCUCAGAAGAAACCAUUUGCAGAUAAUGGUUUCAGGACAAAUCCUCAAGAUUUCUUCUAGGAUUACUGACAUUCCUGUGUGAACUCUGAACCUCAGAUUUUGGUGGCACCCUAAUAGUGGACUGCCAGCCUCCAGAACAGUGAAAAUAAAUGUUUCUACAUCCAUCUAGUGAUUGUCAUCCAAGGCAACAAAAACCAAGGCCCACUUGUUAUUAGGUAGGAAAAUGAAUCCUAAAGCCACUGUUGGGCUGCAGCAGUUGUGUAUGUGUGUGUCUGUGUGUGUGUGUGUGGCAGUGGAAUUGAGUCAGAGACCUUGCCCUACCACUGAGCUCUAUCCCUAGCCCCUUUUCUAUUUUAAUCAGAGAGGGGUUGCCACGAAUUUGCCUUGAACUUGGAUCCCCCUCCUUAUUCUCCAGAGUAGCUGGGAUUGCAAGAGUGUGCCACUGGGCAUGGCUGAGAUUUCGUUGCUAAUAGGUUUGUGUAAUACUUUUGUUGUUCAUCUCCUUAUUUAGGGAAAGUAACACAUAUUAGGGGAGGAAGCAGGAACAUUUUUAUGUAAGCAAUAAAUAGUUUGAUAUCUGUAGGCCCAGGAGAUGGGUUACUGUGAUGUUUUGGCCAAAGCAGCCUUUGAGUCCCUGUCUGCCUCAGAGUGAACACAAAUCCUGAGCAAUGGGUUAAGGUACCAGGAUUGCAGCUGUCCUCUUUCCCUGUGGUGGCUCUGAGUGUCUCAUGCCACCACCACCCGCCACCCCUCCCACCAAGACUUUCUCCUCCUUCAUCUUAAGGAGAAAUGGGUGAAGAUCUCUGUGGUUUUUAGGAGUCACCAAGAUGCCAGAAGAAGCCUGGUGCCCCAGGACCAUGAGCAUUGCUUUCUGCUCGCCCCAAACACUGUCAAGUGGAGUUGGCUUCCUGAGUGACUGGAUCUGCACUGCUGCUUGCUCAGGCGCUGGAUGAUCACCCCAGAGUGCACCACCCUGGUGAGAGUCUGAUGGUUGUGCUGCUGGUUUCUAAAUGUGGGGACGUGAGUUAGUGACAAAACAGGAUGAAAUCCCUGAAAUGGAUAAAGUUGAUGAGAUUGAACAACACCUGGGCAGCAGGGCGAAAGGAGAGAAGCAGCACAGCUCUUGAGGAAGUGCAUGCUACCUACCAGUUGCUGAAAAUGCAUUUCAGCCCUCUGCACAACAUGGCUCCUUUCAGCCUCCACCAAGAAGAUGUACUGGAGGAAGCAGACAUGGAGAACACGAAUGCAUAUUUUAUUUAAAAUAAUAAAAUCACAGGACUAUAGAAGUGGGGCCAUCACACUGCUUAGUGUGCUUAGUGGAUUGGGUUGUGCUAAUUAAUCACUGAGGGUUUCUUUGGGGUGGGUUUCCUUGGAAGUGGGAAGACUUUUCUUGGUUGGGGUUGCUGGUGGGUUUCUGACUGUCACUCUCCUCCCCAUACACGAGAGGACUCUUUUCCGGAGCCAGCGGAAGGCCUGCCUCCAGUUCACACAGGUUGUGGUUUGUGUGUCAGAUCCAGUGUCAUCGUCCUCUGACUCCCCCAGGGAGACCGAGGAGGACUCCUUGGUGCUGGUCUUCAGCAUCUGG
RNAcentral lists this long non-coding RNA (2745 nucleotides) under Heterocephalus glaber (naked mole-rat). Its description in RNAcentral is "lncRNA (ENSHGLG00000042571.1)". Lineage: Eukaryota; Metazoa; Chordata; Mammalia; Rodentia; Bathyergidae. The record is from RNAcentral.